This 464-nucleotide ribosomal RNA is filed under the name uncultured bacterium. RNAcentral's name for it is "partial 16S ribosomal RNA". It matches the Rfam family "Bacterial small subunit ribosomal RNA", at positions 339 to 795 of the family's 1533-position model. The record is from RNAcentral.
CUACGGGCGGCUGCAGUGGGGAAUUUUGGACAAUGGGGGCAACCCUGAUCCAGCCAUGCCGCGUGAGUGAAGAAGGCCUUCGGGUUGUAAAGCUCUUUCGCAAGGAAAGAAAACUUACCUUUUAAUAAAGGGUGAGGCUGACGGUACCUUGAUAAGAAGCACCGGCUAACUACGUGCCAGCAGCCGCGGUAAUACGUAGGGUGCGAGCGUUAAUCGGAAUUACUGGGCGUAAAGCGUGCGCAGGCGGUUCGACAAGUCUGAUGUGAAAUCCCCGGGCUUAACCUGGGAACUGCGUUGGAAACUGUCGGGCUAGAGUGUAGAAGAGGGGGGUAGAAUUCCACGUGUAGCAGUGAAAUGCGUAGAGAUGUGGAGGAAUACCGAUGGCGAAGGCAGCCCCCUGGGCUAACACUGACGCUCAUGCACGAAAGCGUGGGGAGCAAACAGGAUUAGAUACCCGGGUAGUC